RNAcentral lists this ribosomal RNA (512 nucleotides) under uncultured bacterium. RNAcentral's name for it is "bacterial SSU rRNA". It matches the Rfam family "Bacterial small subunit ribosomal RNA", at positions 17 to 518 of the family's 1533-position model. The record is from RNAcentral.
UUCUGGCUCAGGAUGAACGCUAGCUACAGGCUUAACACAUGCAAGUCGAGGGGCAUCAUGGAGUUGCUUGCAAACUCUGAUGGCGACCGGCGCACGGGUGAGUAACGCGUAUCCAACCUUCCCUAUAGUAGAGGAUAGCCCGGCGAAAGUCGGAUUAAUACUCUAUGUUUUCCGUUGCAGACAUCUAAGAUGGAACAAAGGCUUGCCGCUAUAGGAUGGGGAUGCGUCUGAUUAGGUAGUCGGCGGGGUAACGGCCCACCGAGCCUUCGAUCAGUAGGGGUUCUGAGAGGAAGGUCCCCCACAUUGGAACUGAGACACGGUCCAAACUCCUACGGGAGGCAGCAGUGAGGAAUAUUGGUCAAUGGGCGCGAGCCUGAACCAGCCAAGUAGCGUGCAAGGAUGACGGCCCUAUGGGUUGUAAACUGCUUUUAUGCGGGGAUAAAGUUCACUACGUGUAGUGUUUUGUAGGUACCGCAUGAAUAAGGACCGGCUAAUUCCGUGCCAGCAGCUGC